RNAcentral lists this ribosomal RNA (962 nucleotides) under human gut metagenome. Its description in RNAcentral is "bacterial LSU rRNA". It matches the Rfam family "Bacterial large subunit ribosomal RNA", at positions 1962 to 2925 of the family's 2925-position model. The record is from RNAcentral.
AAAUUCCUUGUCGGGUAAGUUCCGACCCGCACGAAAGGUGUAACGAUUUGGGCACUGUCUCAACGAGGGACCCGGUGAAAUUGAAAUACCUGUGAAGAUGCAGGUUACCCGCGACUGGACAGAAAGACCCCAUGGAGCUUUACUGUAACCUGACAUUGGGUUUUGAUACAUUACGUACAGGAUAGGUGGGAGGCUUGGAAAGCUGGACGCUAGUCUGGCUGGAGCCGACGUUGGGAUACCACCCUUGAUGUAUUGAAAUUCUAACCGCGAGAGUAACGAAAUCCGGGACAGUGUCAGGCGGGCAGUUUGACUGGGGCGGUCGCCUCCGAAAGAGUAACGGAGGCGCCCAAAGGUUCCCUCAGCGCGGCCGGAAAUCGCGCGAAGAGUGUAAAGGCAGAAGGGAGCUUGACUGCGAGUCAAACACGACGAGCAGGUACGAAAGUAGGGCUUAGUGAUCCGGUGGUACCGAGUGGAAGGGCCAUCGCUCAACGGAUAAAAGCUACCCUGGGGAUAACAGGCUAAUCUCUCCCAAGAGUCCAUAUCGACGGGGAGGUUUGGCACCUCGAUGUCGGCUCAUCACAUCCUGGGGCUGAAGUCGGUCCCAAGGGUUGGGCUGUUCGCCCAUUAAAGUGGUACGUGAGCUGGGUUCAGAACGUCGUGAGACAGUUCGGUCCCUAUCCAUCGCGGGCGCAAGAGAUUUGAAGGGGGCUGCUCCUAGUACGAGAGGACCGGAGUGGACGAACCGCUGGUGUACCAAUUAUCCCGCCAGGGGUACAGUUGGGUAGCUACGUUCGGAAAGGAUAAACGCUGAAAGCAUCUAAGCGUGAAACCAGCCUUAAGAUGAGAUCUCUCAUAGAGCAAUCUAGUAAGACACCUUAAAGAAGAUGAGGUUGAUAGGUCGGGAGUGUAAGUACAGCAAUGUAUUGAGCGGACCGAUACUAAUAUGUCGAGGGCUUGACUUA